RNAcentral lists this ribosomal RNA (447 nucleotides) under uncultured bacterium. Its description in RNAcentral is "bacterial SSU rRNA". It matches the Rfam family "Bacterial small subunit ribosomal RNA", at positions 355 to 825 of the family's 1533-position model. The record is from RNAcentral.
UGGGGAAUUUUGGACAAUGGGGGAAACCCUGACCCAGCAACGCCGCGUGAAGGAUGAAGUAUUUCGGUAUGUAAACUUCGAAAGAAUAGGAAGAAUAAAUGACGGUACUAUUUAUAAGGUCCGGCUAACUACGUGCCAGCAGCCGCGGUAAUACGUAGGGACCAAGCGUUGUUCGGAUUUACUGGGCGUAAAGGGCGCGUAGGCGGCAUGACAAGUCACUUGUGAAAUCUCUGGGCUUAACCCAGAACGGCCAAGUGAUACUGUCGCGCUAGAGUGCAGAAGGGGCAAUCGGAAUUCUUGGUGUAGCGGUGAAAUGCGUAGAUAUCAAGAGGAACACCUGAGGUGAAGACGGGUUGCUGGGCUGACACUGACGCUGAGGCGCGAAAGCCAGGGGAGCAAACGGGAUUAGAUACCCGUGUAGUCCCUGAGCGGGCUGGCAAGGCGCAU